Molecule: long non-coding RNA, 125 nt
Filed under: Cricetulus griseus (Chinese hamster)
Lineage: Eukaryota; Metazoa; Chordata; Mammalia; Rodentia; Cricetidae
Description: lncRNA (ENSCGRG00000025426.1)
Source: RNAcentral
GCUGAACUGACUAAGAGGCAUCUUGUGGGUCACUCCUGCUCCAGUGCAAACCUGGUCACUGGCUCCCUUUCUGCUUGGCAAUGUGUCAUUCUCAUUCUUAUAUGAAGCACACAGCAUAUUCAAAU